GCACUGGUGAUUCAGUGGUAGAAUUCUCGCCUCCCAGGCAGGAGACCCAGGUUUGACUCCGGGUCAGUGCC
This 71-nucleotide transfer RNA is filed under the name Loxodonta africana (African savanna elephant). It matches the Rfam family "tRNA". From Rfam's summary of the family: Transfer RNA (tRNA) molecules are approximately 80 nucleotides in length. Their secondary structure includes four short double-helical elements and three loops (D, anti-codon, and T loops). The record is from Rfam by way of RNAcentral. Lineage: Eukaryota; Metazoa; Chordata; Mammalia; Proboscidea; Elephantidae.